RNAcentral lists this non-coding RNA (21 nucleotides) under Caenorhabditis elegans. The record is from RNAcentral. Lineage: Eukaryota; Metazoa; Nematoda; Chromadorea; Rhabditida; Rhabditidae.
UCUGUCUCCCAUCACAAUAUC